UGCCCAAAAAAUAAAGUCCAUCGAUUGAAUCGAUUAAACGCGGAGACGAUCGAUUGUUCCGCUUGCCCAAAAAAUAAAGUCCAUCGAUCGAAUCGAUUGAUUGUUCCGCUGUUUGGUUGUUCCUUAGUUCUCUUCGCAGUCGCAGAUCGCACGCGAGCAGCCAGGCCGGCUGGGUUGUUGCCGUCGGCUGAUCGACGAUCGCGCGUGCGCACGGCGGCGCCGACGGCGACAAGAAUCCAUCCCUCGCUGUCUAGCUCCCUGCCCCCUUUUGGUUCUGAUCUUUGUAGUCGGCUGCGGCAGCAGGCCACAUCGAUUCAGUUUCACAACCACGUACAACUCACAGAUUCAACUACUGAAGGAAUGAAUGGUUGGAUAAGGAGUACCCGGGCGCAUAGGCUCUAAAACAUGUUUUCGAGGUGCAGGCAGGAGCACAAUUUUCUUCUCGCUUUCCAGCAGGCUGCAGUACAGACUUACAAGUUUAAGUGUAAACCAUGCAGAGGAAGAGUACCGAUACUACUGAUAUGAGAGCUUUCUUGAAUGAUGGGGCAAAAAUACUUGAAUGAUAUCUUGUUCACAUUCAUUCAAAGGCAAUUCUUCUUGCAAGUUAGGGAUGAUGACAUCAAAAAUCGUUUUCAAAGCAUUAAGGA
This is a long non-coding RNA of Triticum aestivum (bread wheat), 647 nucleotides long. RefSeq lists it as uncharacterized. The record is from RefSeq and is a predicted model, not a curated record. The transcript is spliced from 3 exons. NCBI's taxonomy places the organism in Eukaryota, Viridiplantae, Streptophyta, Magnoliopsida, Poales, Poaceae.